UUUUGUUAAGUUCAGGUUCAUCUCCAUUGCUUGAAUAACAGCUCUUCCUCCUGUAUGAAUGCAGAAAUGCUCAAACGCUGUCUUGAAGUUUGGUGUAUAAGAAGAAGUCGACUCAUAGAUCUUUAGUUUCUUACUAAGAAUGUUUUGUAUCACAUAUUGGAAUUGCUCUAGGUAAGGUAAUACCGAAGGUCCCAGUGAAGUUAGAUUCAUCUUCAGCAUAUCUCCAGCAACACUGAUUACAUCUUUGGUUAUCGAUACCCCUUGCUUUUCCUCAGAGUCUAUGUCUUGAUAGAUACAUCGGUAAGCUCGAUCAUCUUUUGCUUUAUUUGUCCUAACAACAUGCAAGAGCUCAUACUUUGCAUUUCCUCUGUCAUGAUCAUUGCUAGACAUCAAUACUGCAGCUGCUCCCAUUCGAAAGAGACAGUUGCUAAGAAGCAUAGAUCUGUCUUUGCCAAUAUACCAAUGUGUAUU
RNAcentral lists this long non-coding RNA (471 nucleotides) under Capsella grandiflora. RNAcentral's name for it is "long non-coding RNA (CGRA_LNC001017)". The record is from RNAcentral. Lineage: Eukaryota; Viridiplantae; Streptophyta; Magnoliopsida; Brassicales; Brassicaceae.